AGCAAUAUUCUUAAUAACACUAAUUGUACAUUCAAUAUAACGUUCUAAUGUUAUAUCCACUUCUUCCUUCAGGUCUUCCUCCUCUGUGAUUCCUCCACUUCACAGUGAAGACACUCAGGACUGCAGAGAGAGCUGAACACAUAAAAGAAGCUGAACAUGCAGCGUAUUCAGUUUCACUGUACUACAUGUUGAUCUGCUCUGCACUGCUCUCAGAGUUCAAGGAUCAGGUGUGUGACUGCAAGGAAGAGUCAUCAGUCAGUCAUCACUGUCCCAGUGACAGCCCCACCUUUAUGCAGCUUCAAGCUCCUCCCUAAACCAGCUGUAAAGGCCUCUCCUCCUCCAUGUAGCUAUAGUAACACUAUCCUGACGUGAUGACUGGAGCAGUGGAUCUACAGCCGCUGCACAGGUCAAAGGUCAUAAUGUUACAGGUCUUCAAAGCAUACACUACUAACUCAUGAACAGUAUUACUACAGGACACCUGUCUAUUUUGUUUGUUUCAUCUCUACCGUAUUUGAUCUAACAAUAUACGUUUUCCUUGUGUUUCAUCGCAUUUUUUUUGUUGAUUGUAUUUAUUUAUUUAUUAUUUUUUUAUUUGUCAUCCGUCCCUUUUCAGUCAGAUUUAUGAGAAAAUUAAGGAUGAAAAUGUUUGUUUGAUUGCCUCGUGCAUAUGAACAAAUUAACCUUGAAGAAAUGACAUAUUUGUAUCACAAUGAGUCAUUAGUAUGGGGUUUCAGCUGGUAGGUAUAUUCAAGGUUUUUCACAUGUGUACACCGAUCCUUAGGAUAACCUAAACUCUACUGAGACUGCCCAGUGUUAAAUUGUAAGAAUGUGAAAUCCAUCAAGUGUUUCAUCUUCAGAUGGCUAAAACAUGACUUGGUGCAAAGAGCCUUGUCAAAAGAUUUAAUAGGAAAACAAAUCCUACAAAGCUUGGGUCCUAACCUUGAGUCAACAAGUGACUCUAACCUCUAAUGUUCCAUCAAAGUAAGGAGAACCCAGUGUGUCUGUGAGCCUCAGUAAACUGAGUUUAACGCUGGGAUAGUCUAAACGACAAUGUUGACAAGACUUAUCUGUCCAGGGCUCCUGGACCUUGAAGUCUUGAACUGAGUAUUAACCUAAGUCUGGAAACGAUGUGAAAAACCUUUGAUUGUAGGAAAUGAACCAUAUUGUUAACUAUUGAAACUAUAGUACAUUUAUUCAUGAAUAACACAGAGACCAAUGUUCACAAAACUGUGUUGAUACAUUUCUCACUCUAAGAUGUUAUCUUUCAUGAAAUACUCACAAAAUAAUUAUGACCAAUACAACAGUACUUGUGCACUGUACUCAUCUAUAUUAUUUCUUUAUAUUUCGAUAGAAGAUAAUGAGUCAAAAAAGAAUGUAAAGACGGGAUCUUCUUUUGUGUUGUAUUUCAACUCUUAGCUUUGUUAAAUGCUGCACUUCAUCUUCCACACUGCCAAUUUUGAAAUUAAAAUAUUAUGUUUUCCUGC
Non-coding RNA from Gasterosteus aculeatus aculeatus (three-spined stickleback), 1484 nucleotides. The record is from RefSeq and is a predicted model, not a curated record. Lineage: Eukaryota; Metazoa; Chordata; Actinopteri; Perciformes; Gasterosteidae.